AAGUCGUAACAAGGUUUCCGUAGGUCAACCUGCGGAAGGAUCAUUAACACGUAUCCAAACGUUAAAACCCCCCCCGUGAGCCUUCAUCCUGCUCUUGUAACCCGCGUAGUUCGCAAUCUCUGAUAAAUCAUAGCCCGGAAAGUUGUAGUGAUUCAGAGACCUCUGGCUACGUGCGAACAUUGGAACAGUUAAAAUCGAGCGGUACCCAAUGUAUUACAUUGAGCUUCACAUUAAAGUGUGGCGUUAUUGGGGGGCAUGGGGACCCUUUGGCAAAGCUCCUGCCCGAGUGUACGGUCUACAGGAAUCGUAGAAGCGCUAUCCUUGCACAAUCAAUGACACUUUCCGACACGGACUGCUUGGGGAAAUAUUGUAAAAAAACCGAACAACUGUUAACAAUGGAUAUCUUGGUUCUC
This 413-nucleotide unclassified non-coding RNA is filed under the name fungal sp. RNAcentral describes it as "partial internal transcribed spacer region". The stretch from base 1 to 46 matches the Rfam family "Eukaryotic small subunit ribosomal RNA", at positions 1786 to 1831 of the family's 1831-position model. Lineage: Eukaryota; Fungi. The record is from RNAcentral.